This 350-nucleotide ribosomal RNA is filed under the name uncultured Coriobacteriales bacterium. RNAcentral describes it as "bacterial SSU rRNA". It matches the Rfam family "Bacterial small subunit ribosomal RNA", at positions 8 to 339 of the family's 1533-position model. The record is from RNAcentral. Lineage: Bacteria; Bacillati; Actinomycetota; Coriobacteriia; Coriobacteriales.
AGAGUUUGAUUAUGGCUCAGGACGAACGCUGGCGGCGUGCUUAACACAUGCAAGUCGAGCGGGGACAUGAGGGAAUAAGCUUCGGCAGAAAGAAUCAUGUUCUAGCGGCGGACGGGUGAGUAACGCGUGAGCAAUCUGUCCCAGACAGGGGGAUAACACUUGGAAACAGGUGCUAAUACCGCAUAAGACCACGAGGCGGCAUCGUCUUGGGGUAAAAGGAGCGAUUCGGUUUGGGGUGAGCUCGCGUCCGAUUAGCUGGUUGGUGAGGUAACGGCCCACCAAGGCGACGAUCGGUAGCCGACCUGAGAGGGUGAUCGGCCACAUUGGAACUGAGAGACGGUCCAGACUCC